Non-coding RNA from Cyanistes caeruleus (blue tit), 588 nucleotides. The record is from RefSeq and is a predicted model, not a curated record. NCBI's taxonomy places the organism in Eukaryota, Metazoa, Chordata, Aves, Passeriformes, Paridae.
AGUUGGCUGAUUGUCACCACACCAACUGACCCAGAAUGGCCAUGGCUGAAGCCUGCUGGAUGUCACCACCUGCUCUUUGCCACCCAUUCUUUUCUGGUUUGCCUUCUCCUAUCUUGCUUCCAGUCUACCAGCUUCAAAAGGAAAAAAGCUAGCUGAAGAGACCUGCACUACUGGUUAUUUGAUGCAUCCAGCCCCUCAGCCAUGUAAAUUUUCUUACAUACAAAUGUUCAUUGCCAUCUUUUACAUUCCUCUGCUGACAGUGAAGAGGUCGUGCUAAAUCAAACUGAUGGAGAAACUGGACAUCAUCUUUACCCUGAAUGCCCAGAUUAAUUCUACCAGAACAGAGUUUCAUGAUUGGAAGAUUGAGGCUGGAAGUAGUCUCUGAUAGGCAUCUUGUCUAAACUACCUGAUCAAGAAGUCACCUAGAGCAGAUUGCCCAGGAUUAUGUCCAGAUGGCUUUUAAUCUUCUUUGCCCUGGAGACAGAUACACAUAACUUGGCACUGAUCUGCUAGCAAGAAAACUUCAACACAUCAAUAUUGGAAGCUUAUGUCCAGUGCUCCCAUUUUAAUAGAAGAGCAUUGCACAGA